RNAcentral lists this ribosomal RNA (301 nucleotides) under uncultured bacterium. Its description in RNAcentral is "partial 16S ribosomal RNA". It matches the Rfam family "Bacterial small subunit ribosomal RNA", at positions 509 to 809 of the family's 1533-position model. The record is from RNAcentral.
CAGCCGCCGCGGGAAUACAGAGGGUGCAAGCGUUAAUCGGAAUUACUGGGCGUAAAGCGAGCGUAGGUGGCUUGAUAAGUCAGAUGUGAAAUCCCCGGGCUUAACCUGGGAACUGCAUCUGAUACUGUUAAGCUAGAAUAGGUGAGAGGAAGGUAGAAUUCCAGGUGUAGCGGUGAAAUGCGUAGAGAUCUGGAGGAAUACCGAUGGCGAAGGCAGCCUUCUGGCAUCAUAUUGACACUGAGGUUCGAAAGCGUGGGUAGCAAACAGGAUUAGAUACCCCAGUAGUCCCUGUCUCUUAUAA